Molecule: small nuclear RNA, 164 nt
Organism: Lepisosteus oculatus (spotted gar)
Lineage: Eukaryota; Metazoa; Chordata; Actinopteri; Semionotiformes; Lepisosteidae
Gene: U1
Rfam family: U1 spliceosomal RNA
About the family: U1 is a small nuclear RNA (snRNA) component of the spliceosome (involved in pre-mRNA splicing).
Source: Ensembl
AGUCUUACCUGGCAGGGGCAAUAUCAUGAUCAUGCAGGGGGUUUGCCCGGGGUGGGGCUCCACCACUGCACUCCGCUGUGCUGACCCCUGCGAAUUCCCCCAUGUGGGAAUCUCGACUGCAGAAUUUCUGCUAGAGGGGGACUGGUUGCCGGUGCAAAUCCUGU